This 311-nucleotide long non-coding RNA is filed under the name Spirodela polyrhiza (greater duckweed). Its description in RNAcentral is "long non-coding RNA (SPOL_LNC000399)". Lineage: Eukaryota; Viridiplantae; Streptophyta; Magnoliopsida; Alismatales; Araceae. The record is from RNAcentral.
UUAAGUCUCAUAGUGCACCCUUCCUUUUUUUCCUAAAUAAAUGCGCGAUAGGUGUUGAGGGGAGGGCACCAUUUUGAACUUAAUCCUUUUGCCCUGCUCUGAAAACUAUAAAGAAUUGAUGUCAGUUGAUUGACUGACAUAUAUAUUCUCUCCUGAGUAUGUCUCUUGCGGAGGUGAAGCCAGGCAAGAGCAGGAUACCGAGACUUGCAAAUCAUGGUAACUAAAAUACAAUUCAGAUCAAUUAAAUCUCGGGAUAAAAUGAAGGAGUAUAUAGAUCACAAUCUAUCUGAAAUGAAGAUGUGUGAUCAUAC